Toxorhynchites rutilus septentrionalis is the source of this 1122-nucleotide long non-coding RNA. RefSeq lists it as uncharacterized. The transcript is spliced from 3 exons. The record is from RefSeq and is a predicted model, not a curated record. NCBI's taxonomy places the organism in Eukaryota, Metazoa, Arthropoda, Insecta, Diptera, Culicidae.
CACAUCCCUACCAACGAUUGAUUCAUUUUACUUCGCGGUGUUAGUAACUUUUACGAUUGCAUUACUGGCAACCGCGAAGAAAAUGUAAAUAUAACAUUAUUAGUCUAAUUACCGAGUUGAUAAUUGAGUUGAACGACACUACUUUCCGAUAUUGAUUUCUUCAUAGAAGAAGGUCGAAUUAACCCGAAUUCGGGACAGCAAUGAUUCGUCCUCGUCUGCUGCGGGAGAAUUUGAAGACAUUACUUCAAUAAUAAGGAAACUGGGUACUUCGAAAUACAAAAACGAACCCUGUCGAGUCCUAGAUUCAUCUUUAUGCUAUUGGAUUUGGUCAAGGACAACGUCAUAAACGCUUUGCAGAUUGUGAUCGGUGGUUCGAUCAAUUGGAUGAUUUCCGGAUUCGUCACGACAGAGGUUCCGUAUCCACUGAGGCUGCGCGUCAAGUCAAUAUUGCAACGGGGCAUAGAGCAGGCCUCACCUAAUGCCGCCAGGGCUUCGUCAGCUUCGUGAUAUUUCCCGAUUGUGUUUGGCUGAGAAGUAAUUACACGCUGGUCCUGGGAGAGGAUAAUGCCGUGGAUCAGACCCAAUCGAUGCAGGAUCAGAUGUCUAUAGUUUAGAUAGUUCAAUGAAUAAUUUAAAAAAGUUAGUUGGUUCAAUAAAUGAACAAAUAUGCAUACAAAAGAUGAAUAAAUUAAAUACAAUAUAUGCAUUAAGGUUGGGUUAACAUAACAUGUUUAGGGUGUAUGUUAAAUCAACGUUGAACCGAAUGCUUCUACUGGGUUAUACUGGCCGAUUUAGCAUUUGUUUACCAUUCUUAUCGCGUAAUAUGUACGAAUCUGGGUCAUGCGAAUAGAAUCAAAUUGGUAGUCAAAAAGAAACCAAAGAAUGUCAAUAAUCAGGAAGGAAAAAAGUUUCUUUUCUUAAAAUAAACCACAUAGAGGAAAUAUCGUUAUGAAAGACAAAAAUAAUCUAAUUAAAUUAAAUGGAAGAACUACAUUUUUUCAUCAAUUAAUGCGAGCGUUUGAAAUCAUGAAAGCACAACUGACAAUUCGGUAGUUUUGCAGAAAUUAGUUUUGGUAUUUUCAGAAAUUUCAGUCUUAUUGACUUCAAAACUCCUCUAAACUU